UGGGGAAUUUUCCGCAAUGAGCGAAAGCCUGACGGAGCAAUGCCGCGUGGAGGUGGAAGGCCUACGGGUCGUCAACUUCUUUUCUCGGAGAAGAAACAAUGACGGUAUCUGAGGAAUAAGCAUCGGCUAACUCUGUGCCAG
RNAcentral lists this ribosomal RNA (141 nucleotides) under uncultured bacterium. Its description in RNAcentral is "partial 16S rRNA". It matches the Rfam family "Bacterial small subunit ribosomal RNA", at positions 355 to 511 of the family's 1533-position model. The record is from RNAcentral.